This 623-nucleotide ribosomal RNA is filed under the name Salmonella enterica subsp. enterica. Its description in RNAcentral is "bacterial LSU rRNA". It matches the Rfam family "Bacterial large subunit ribosomal RNA", at positions 1 to 652 of the family's 2925-position model. RNAcentral also lists the same sequence under 1 other name. The record is from RNAcentral. Lineage: Bacteria; Pseudomonadati; Pseudomonadota; Gammaproteobacteria; Enterobacterales; Enterobacteriaceae.
GGGUUGUGAGGUUAAGCGACUAAGCGUACACGGUGGAUGCCCUGGCAGUCAGAGGCGAUGAAGGGCGUGCUAAUCUGCGAUAAGCGCCGGUAAGGUGAUAUGAACCGUUAUAACCGGCGAUACCCGAAUGGGGAAACCCAGUGUGACUCGUCACACUAUCAUUAACUGAAUCCAUAGGUUAAUGAGGCGAACCGGGGGAACUGAAACAUCUAAGUACCCCGAGGAAAAGAAAUCAACCGAGAUUCCCCCAGUAGCGGCGAGCGAACGGGGAGGAGCCCAGAGCCUGAAUCAGCAUGUGUGUUAGUGGAAGCGUCUGGAAAGGCGCGCGAUACAGGGUGACAGCCCCGUACACAAAAGCGCAUGUGUUGUGAGCUCGAUGAGUAGGGCGGGACACGUGGUAUCCUGUCUGAAUAUGGGGGGACCAUCCUCCAAGGCUAAAUACUCCUGACUGACCGAUAGUGAACCAGUACCGUGAGGGAAAGGCGAAAAGAACCCCGGCGAGGGGAGUGAAAAAGAACCUGAAACCGUGUACGUACAAGCAGUGGGAGCACAGGUUUACCUGUGUGACUGCGUACCUUUUGUAUAAUGGGUCAGCGACUUAUAUUCUGUAGCAAGGUUAACCG